GUGAACGCAUGCGUAAGUGUUGGCUGGGAGCGGGAGAGUGUGUCAGCGUGAGUUGUGGCUAACAGCAGCUCGUGUAUGUACAGAUGUCAUGACUAGAGAUGCAUACCGAGUACCAGUACUUCUUAGUCCCGGUUCCUAAUUGGGUCGCUCCUCCUGGACCGUGAAGAUUCUGGACUGACGGAGGAGGAUCCGCCAGGGCAGUUGCUGGAUGUUCCAUCUCCAUCGUUG
Long non-coding RNA from Nerophis lumbriciformis (worm pipefish), 228 nucleotides. RefSeq lists it as uncharacterized. Lineage: Eukaryota; Metazoa; Chordata; Actinopteri; Syngnathiformes; Syngnathidae. The record is from RefSeq and is a predicted model, not a curated record.